Molecule: non-coding RNA, 95 nt
Organism: Caenorhabditis elegans
Lineage: Eukaryota; Metazoa; Nematoda; Chromadorea; Rhabditida; Rhabditidae
Source: Ensembl
UUCAUCUUCUUUUUCUUCUUCUUUUCUUCCACACUGCUUCUUCUCCAAGCCAUAACCCAAUCGGUCACAUAAAUGAGAAGAACGCCUGUUCUUCU